GAUGAACGCUGGCGGCGUGCCUAACACAUGCAAGUCGAACGAGAUGCGUAUUGGAAAGCUUCGGCCGGAAGAUGCGUUAUCUAGUGGCGGACGGGUGAGUAACACGUGGGUAACCUGCCUUAUGGAGGGGGAUAACAGAGAGAAAUCACUGCUAAUACCGCAUAAGCACACAUUGCCGCAUGGCAGAGUGUGACAAGAUUUAUCGCCAUAAGAUGGACCCGCGUCUGAUUAGCCAGUUGGCAGGGUAAAAGCCUACCAAAGCAACGAUCAGUAGCCGAUCUGAGAGGAUGACCGGCCACAUCGGGACGGGGCCACGGCGCAAACUCCUACGGGAGGCAGCAGUGGGUAAUAUUGCACAAUGGGGGAAACCCUGAUGCAGCGACGCCGCGUGAGUGAAGAAGUAUUUCGGUAUGUAAAGCUCUAUCAGCAGGGAAGAUAAUGACGGUACCUGACUAAGAAGCCCCGGCUAACUACGUG
Molecule: ribosomal RNA, 477 nt
Filed under: uncultured bacterium
Lineage: Bacteria
Description: partial 16S ribosomal RNA
Rfam family: Bacterial small subunit ribosomal RNA
Source: RNAcentral